UAGUGGCGGACGGGUGAGUAACGCGUGGGUAACCUGCCUUACACAGGGGGAUAACACUUAGAAAUAGGUGCUAAAACCGCAUAAGCGCACAGCUUCGCAUGAAGCGGUGUGAAAAACUCCGGUGGUGUAAGAUGGACCCGCGUCUGAUUAGCUUGUUGGCGGGGUAACGGCCCACCAAGGCGACGAUCAGUAGCCGGCCUGAGAGGGCGGACGGCCACAUUGGGACUGAGACACGGCCCAGACUCCUACGGAAGGCAGCAG
RNAcentral lists this ribosomal RNA (261 nucleotides) under uncultured bacterium. Its description in RNAcentral is "partial 16S ribosomal RNA". It matches the Rfam family "Bacterial small subunit ribosomal RNA", at positions 93 to 354 of the family's 1533-position model. The record is from RNAcentral.